Molecule: ribosomal RNA, 822 nt
Filed under: Escherichia coli
Lineage: Bacteria; Pseudomonadati; Pseudomonadota; Gammaproteobacteria; Enterobacterales; Enterobacteriaceae
Description: partial 23S ribosomal RNA
Rfam family: Bacterial large subunit ribosomal RNA
Source: RNAcentral
AUGAGUAGGGCGGGACACGUGGUAUCCUGUCUGAAUAUGGGGGGACCAUCCUCCAAGGCUAAAUACUCCUGACUGACCGAUAGUGAACCAGUACCGUGAGGGAAAGGCGAAAAGAACCCCGGCGAGGGGAGUGAAAAAGAACCUGAAACCGUGUACGUACAAGCAGUGGGAGCACGCUUAGGCGUGUGACUGCGUACCUUUUGUAUAAUGGGUCAGCGACUUAUAUUCUGUAGCAAGGUUAACCGAAUAGGGGAGCCGAAGGGAAACCGAGUCUUAACUGGGCGUUAAGUUGCAGGGUAUAGACCCGAAACCCGGUGAUCUAGCCAUGGGCAGGUUGAAGGUUGGGUAACACUAACUGGAGGACCGAACCGACUAAUGUUGAAAAAUUAGCGGAUGACUUGUGGCUGGGGGUGAAAGGCCAAUCAAACCGGGAGAUAGCUGGUUCUCCCCGAAAGCUAUUUAGGUAGCGCCUCGUGAAUUCAUCUCCGGGGGUAGAGCACUGUUUCGGCAAGGGGGUCAUCCCGACUUACCAACCCGAUGCAAACUGCGAAUACCGGAGAAUGUUAUCACGGGAGACACACGGCGGGUGCUAACGUCCGUCGUGAAGAGGGAAACAACCCAGACCGCCAGCUAAGGUCCCAAAGUCAUGGUUAAGUGGGAAACGAUGUGGGAAGGCCCAGACAGCCAGGAUGUUGGCUUAGAAGCAGCCAUCAUUUAAAGAAAGCGUAAUAGCUCACUGGUCGAGUCGGCCUGCGCGGAAGAUGUAACGGGGCUAAACCAUGCACCGAAGCUGCGGCAGCGACGCUUAUGCGUUGUUGGGUA